UACGUAGGGGGCUAGCGUUGUCCGGAAUCAUUGGGCGUAAAGCGCGCGUAGGCGGCCCGGUAAGUCCGUUGUGAAAGUCAAAGGCUCAACCUUUGAAAGCCGAUGGAUACUGCCGGGCUAGAGUCCGGAAGAGGCGAGUGGAAUUCCUGGUGUAGCGGUGGAAUGCGCAGAUAUCAGGAGGAACACCGAUAGCGAAGGCAGCUCGCUGGGACGGUACUGACGCUAAGGUGCGAAAGCGUGGGGAGCGAACAGG
RNAcentral lists this ribosomal RNA (253 nucleotides) under uncultured bacterium. RNAcentral's name for it is "partial 16S ribosomal RNA". It matches the Rfam family "Bacterial small subunit ribosomal RNA", at positions 524 to 776 of the family's 1533-position model. The record is from RNAcentral.